AAUUUGUAUAGUUUAUAAAAAAUAUUGCACUUUCACUGCAAAGAUAGAUUUUUAAUCUUACAAAUUAC
This 68-nucleotide transfer RNA is filed under the name Rhynchophorus ferrugineus (red palm weevil). RNAcentral's name for it is "tRNA-Glu". It matches the Rfam family "tRNA". From Rfam's summary of the family: Transfer RNA (tRNA) molecules are approximately 80 nucleotides in length. Their secondary structure includes four short double-helical elements and three loops (D, anti-codon, and T loops). The record is from RNAcentral. Lineage: Eukaryota; Metazoa; Arthropoda; Insecta; Coleoptera; Curculionidae.